CAUGGAUUUGACAGCAAGUCGAGGUGGUGUGUAAGCAUGCAGAGCGUCGAUGAUAGGCUCUUUAAUCCCUGCAUCAUACAGUUUAUCUGGCAACAACACUUAUGCUCUCGCAGCUUAACCGAAGUACAGUAGGUUAACUUUAUUCCUUUGUUAGACAUUGGAACGAGACGUCGCCCUGAAAGUUCCCUUCCUGAAACGGUCAGACCAGCGGCGCAGGAAAUUCAGGAAUAGUCUAUGAUGGCCUCGCGUCACAGAUGAAACUCAUAGAGGAUAAGGCUAUGAUCUGGUGGUUCAGGUCGUGUCAUAGCACGAAAAACAAAACUGAACUAAGCAUGUAGAAAGCGCAUGGCUUCCUUGUUUGGACGAGGGUUCAAUCCCCUCC
This 382-nucleotide transfer-messenger RNA is filed under the name Candidatus Colivivens caballi. It matches the Rfam family "transfer-messenger RNA". From Rfam's summary of the family: Bacterial tmRNA, also known as 10Sa RNA or SsrA, is named for its dual tRNA and mRNA-like properties. Its role is to liberate the mRNA from a stalled ribosome. To accomplish this part of the tmRNA is used as a reading frame that ends in a translation stop signal. The record is from RNAcentral. Lineage: Bacteria; Pseudomonadati; Bacteroidota; Bacteroidia; Bacteroidales; Bacteroidaceae.